CAAUAACCGUAAAAGACUUCCACAUGUUAGCCUGAUGGACUAAAACAAAGGGGAUAAAUUUUAGUAAGAAAUGAAUAUAGAUCUCAGGUUAAAAAAAGACCAACUGACUGGAGAUGACUGGCUUAAUAGAAGUUCAUGUGAAAAGUCUCAUGAGUUUUAUCACCAGGAAGCUCAGUGGGAGUCCAGUGUCACGUGACAAGCAUCAGUUCUUGGAGUGUGUUCGUGGAGGUAGAGUCCUCCUAUUAAGGGUAGUCCUAUAUUUUAACCCUGGCCAAACUUAUACUGAUUUCCUUAUCUCUGAAAGUGUCCGAGACAAAACUGAGCAAUUGUGUCAUAUAGGAAACUGUUGGAGGAAUUACAGGAACCAUGAUUUAGCCCAAAGUGGAAAAGCUCAGGAGGAGGCCUGAGUGAUUGCUGUGUGGAAAUAUUUAUCUGAAGGGUUGAGGUUUUCCCUGAAUUCCAGUGUCUAGCGCUGGAGUAAGACCAGGAUCAAUAUCUGGAGAUUUCAGGGAAAUCCUCUGGAGGUUGAUAUAAAGAAAAAUUUUCUGAUGAAUAAAAUUUGUUCAAAAGUGAAAUGGAUUGGCAUGGGAGGAGGAGAGUCCCCUGACCCUGAAAAAUGAGGCCAGAUAUCAACUUUCUGACUGAGGAGGUUGUGGGGGAGGUUGAAGUGUGAAGUUGUGCUAGAUGGCCCUUCAGAUUCCAUCCAUUGCCAAGUAGGCAAAUUUGUCCCUGGGGCUGUCUUGUCUCCCCUUUAUCCCAGCUGUAACUCUGGGAAAAACUGGAUCACCUGCUUCCCAUUACAAUAUUAAUGACUUAUAAGGCUUGAGGUCUUGAGAAAUUUAUACUUCAGUAAUUUUCCACCAAUAGGCAUGUUUCUAUUCAUGAAGACCACACUGGCUUUAGCCUGCAAACAAAGGACCUGUCACAAGAGUGCGAGAUUUUCAUGUGCAAGAAUUAGCUCCUGCAGGGACAUUUGGGAAGCGGUCAACUUGUACCUCUUAAAUGAAAACAUAGAAUCUCGUCUCUAUACCCUAUGGAAGCAGGAAAUUGGGAGUGAUGCAUCCUCAUCUGCCUGUUCUGGACAGUGUGCUGGUCUGUUUCCCCUGGGCAACAGCAGUCAUUACCUAAUGGAUAUUGGAGAAAUGAGCCCUUACUGUCUCCUGUUCUUUUGCAUUGCUGUGGGAUUAAAAGAUCAAUAAGAACAGUAGCUGUGAUCUUGGUAUUUGAUGGGAAUCUUUUAGCCACCUUCCUACUCUAAGUCACUUUAUCAUUGCAUUAGAAAUGGGUGAUAAGGAUGGAGCAUUUGAAUAUGGCUGCAAACCUAAACCCUCGGCUCACUCCGCCUCUCUCUUCUCUUUCCCAUCCAGCAAGCAGGGUGGAACAGUGAGGGUGUCUGCCCUGCAAGAAGACAGGAUACCAAAUACUUGCACGGUGAAGAGCCACCAUCCUGGGAGAUGGGGGAAGGGCCUGGAAAGGAGAGGAGAACUGAGGGAUAUUUUUCUCUCCCAUCCAAGAGCCUCCUAGGGACCCCUUCCUGAACCCGGCAUCCUUCCUGCUGGUCUCUUUGCAGAGAUAUGCAGGGCCCUAUGGAGUUCCUGAGGAAUCCUGCAGCUGCUGGGGGCUCGUCGGAGAUGGGCAGUGUGUCUCCCUGUCCUUGUUAGUCCCAUAAAUGGCCCAUUGAGGGGAGCAGGAGAAGGGAGAGGCAUCCAGGGCUGGCCCCGGGGUCCCUCAAUGGGGGCACUGUUCAGGCUUGGGUGGAAGCCAGCCCUGACACCAUGCUAGUUGUUAAAGCCUCAUUCUUCCCAAGGAGGCGGCUGGAAAGGCAGCAGAGCAGCUGAGGCUCCAGAAAAGGUACUUCUCUUGUUCUUCGCAAGGCUGGACUGGCACAUGAGAGGAAGCCACUUCCUCUUCAAUUAUUUUCUGUUGUCCAUUGCAUUUACAUCUCAAGCAUUUUCCCUCUUCCUUCUUACUACUCAAGAUCCCACAUUGAUGGGUUUUUCCCUUAUUCUCCCCAGUCUCAACGGAAACUUAGAAAUGAUGUCAAAUUUUCCUGUUUUGUACUGGUCCCCUUGGGCAGCCCAUCAGGGAAGCACCUUGAGAGUGGCUCCUAUUUGGCAGUUGCUCUUGAGCCCCUGAAUAGUUCAAAAUCUCAUUCAAAAUGAAGAGUGUGGCUUUGGAAAUAGCAAAAUACUAGAUGUCCACUGCAGGAAACAUAAUGUUUUUCUUGCCCACCUUCCAUACUCCUCUUUCUCAUAAUACCACCUGGAUUUCCCUUUAAGGGCCAAGCCUGCCACACUCAGCCUAUGGGUGUUGAUGGGAUUGACUUGACCACGAGGCUCUUGGUUUCAGGAUGGCAUAGCACUCUUGGCCAGCAUCUUCUAUCCUCCUGGCUUUGGGUAGGGGCAGUUAGGACCCAGACUGGGCCACAUCAGAGUCAAUCUUGAGCAAGAAAGAUUUGGGGUAGGUAUGGGGGCAGACACUCCCUAUUUUCACUGAGGUUGCUGACUAUGUAGAGUCUAAGUUGGGAGCUGUGGUGAUCACCUUUGUUUCCACAUGGGAAGAAUUACUGUGAGGAUAUAGGCCACAGAGGAAAACCGGGCCAAAGUGACAGACCCUUGAUGAUAUAGGAUGUAGGUUGGAUCCAGCUAUGCCUAAAGCCAGCACCCUGGUCUUUCAGUUAUACUGGUCAGAAUGUUCACUUUUAUUCCUUCAUCUCACUUGAGUUGAGUUUCUGUUCACUGGUUUCUAUUAGCAUGAUUCAUUUAGUUGCCACCAAAAGAGUCCUAAAAAUGCUGACCUUUUCUACUUCCUAUUCACUGCUCAGGCCACCCUUAUUCAGUUAUUUGCUACAGUAUUUUGCAGUUGCCCCAGACUGUACCAGAGCUAACAUGUACUAACAUUAUCAAAAAUUUCAGCCUAGAUGGAAACGGGAAGACUCGCUCAGUUCUUCUCUGAAUGGAGGUGAUAACAGGUACCCCUGGAGUCCCCAUGUGCAUCUUGAAUCUGUAAGAGCCCCAGCUUUACCCAUUCAUUCAGCAAUCAUUAACUCUGUGUGUAUCACAUGCUAUGGAACUGCCUCAAACAGCUCACAGUCAAGGAGAGGGACUGGUGGCAUGAGGGCAAAGAAGUAGGAUAGUCUCCAUGAUGAGACUCUAUAUCCACUUCCAUGGGGGGCGCUAGGAAGCAAGUGGCCAGAUCUUAUCUUCGAAGGGGGGAGAAAGACUUCAAGGAAGAGGUGAUGGCUUGAGCUGUAUCUUCAAAGAUGUAUUGAGGUUUUUCAGCUUAAAAAAAAAGUAUAGGAAAGGCAUACAGUCUGACCCGGGAGAGAAAUGUCAACUGUAAACUGUUGUCUGACUUAAAAACCCUCCCCCUGCAGGAUGGCGAAGGCAGUUUGACCUUCUGUGUUUAGCACAUGCCUGACUGCUGUGUUAUGCUGGGUAGGACACAGAAAUCUGUGGCCACAUUCAUCCCCUCCUUUCACCCUUUCCAAAAUUCAGAAAACAUGUGUAAAGUUCUCUGGCUGGCGAGCAAUGCCAUAUAGAUGUUAGAGUGACUUGUGGUUGGUAAACUCAACAUUCUAUGUCCAAUCUCCAGGUUUGUGGGUGUGAGUCAGUGGCAAGGAUAUGGCAGUAGCAGGAACAGCAGCAUCUGCCCUAUUUUCAGAUCAAAGUUAAAACUGUAUACCCCUCAAAUAAAUGGUCCAGUGGUGGUCCCCUGACUUCCUUGUUUUGUAAGCAGGUCCAUUCCCUACACUAAAUCUCUUUCAGUUAGACAUCCCUUGAGUAUGUUCUCUUGUCCACACUGAACUCUGACUGAAGCCAUUCCCCACUGUGAGGUCUGGAAGGGCCAAGACCUGCUUUUCUCAUUCUCCACUGCAUCCCUAGUAGUGAGCACAAGGUGUGGCAGUAGUGGGUUCUCAGUAAAGAGUUUUUGAGCAUGUGUUUUAAAAGUUGCAAUAUGGGUGUGGGGGCACAUAUGUAUUUAUGAAUAGUUAAGCAAUUCAGAAGAUGCCAUAAGGCUGUACACCAUUGAGAGCCACCUUUUUAGCAAUGAUAUGUUGUCAUAGGCCAUUGGUUACCCUGGUCUCCAGUGUUCAUGGAAGAUUUGAUGGAGAUGUAUUGAUGGGAGGGGACUGGAUUCAGAAGAAUGAGUAGACACUGGAUAAGAAAAAAAAAAGAGUGCCGUACUUUAGAACCAGUGCUUAGUGUUAAUAUCACUGCACACUGAUGACUUAACGUGCACACGCUCCUGAAAUGAAGACUAAGUUCCCUUUGAAAUACAUGUGGGCUUAAAAGUGAAGGGAAAAGGUCUUGGCAUGAUGUUCUUGGGUUUUGCCAAACCCUAAUGUUGUGUUUGGAGCCCUUUUCUGCCCCGUAGGCCACAAGAAUUCCCCUGUUCCCAUCCCAUACCCACAUCAAGCAUGUUUCUGAAUCUUCUGGGAAGCCACACACUGAGCAGUCAGAUAUCUGAUCCUACUUCAGAACAAGCAAGGCAAGAUCUAAGUUCAACCAGCAGAAAUUUCCAUUGGGAGCCUUUGCCCAGGAUGUUGGCUGACAGCCUCUGGUCCUCCUGAGUUCCAGAAUUGGGUGAAAGGCACAUUCAGCAGUCUUUUCCUCUAUGAUGGCCUGAGUAUAAUACCUCAUGAUGGGAGGAAGAACACCAAGAAGGUCUUCAAGGAGAGGGUAUCUGACCUUUGGACAUUUUGCAUCUCAGGCUCACUUCUACUGGAGGAAAAAGCAAAGAACCUUCAGGCCACAGCCUUUAUCAUCACUGUUUGCCACUGAUGCUAGCAGGCAGGCUUGACCCUCUUUCCCAACCUGGGUCACGAGCAGAGCAGUUCAUGAAGUUCUUGUUCAGAAUCCUGAUUACAGAUGAUAAUCUCUGUGAACCUCCUUGAAGGAGAGCCACUUCUGCUGGGAAGGACAUGAUGAGAUGUGGAAAAUCAACCCAAGUGUACUGAAGAAGAAGGGUUACAGUUGUACUUAAAUAGAUCCUUCAAACUCAGGCUUUUAGCCCUUCUGUUGUUUCUGGCCAAGAACUGAGAGCUCCUUUGUGCCCUCCCCUCACAUCUUUAAACUCAAGACUUCACCGAAUGGAAUGGAGUGCCACUAGAAGAGCAUACGCCGUGUGGCUGAAACUGAAAUGGUGGAGUGGUUUGGCUGGACCCAGCCUGGCUCUGUUCUGCCACAAUGGACACAGCAGUUUUGAAGCAAAACUAUUUACCAAGUGCAGAGAGUCACGCCUCACCAGAGGGAACCUCACCAAGUCUCCCUGUACAGUUCUUCCUGGAUGUCUUCUUUAGCAAGGUUACACCUGGCACACAGACCCUGUCAGCUACUCACUGCAUUCCUUACAAACCCAAACCCACCGAGGAUCAGAGCGAUGUCCUGUGUGCCAGGCACCUUGCUUACUGCAGGAGAAAAGAGGUGGACAACAUGCCUUGGAAUGAGGCAGAGAAGCCAAAAUUUAAAUGUGUGAGACCAGUGUUGCAGUUGUUAUUCCCUCUGCUGGUGGAUAUCCCAGGAUAUGUUUGUUGGAAUUACCCCUGGACUCUUCACUGUCUUGCAUCAGCCUCUUUUUUUCUUUGGAAAAGUAUAAGCAAGAGUUGCUCAGUUGCUUGUCUGUGGAGAAAAAUCAUUCCUGAUCAGCUGGGGUGGAGUUCCCUGGUGACCUUUUUUUUUUUUUUUAAUCUGUCCACACAAUAUUCCCACAUCUCCCAUCUCAUGUUGUAACCUCUCUGGUUACAUUAAGCCUGCAGACUUUUCUUAAGUUCUUUCUUAUAAAGAUAGUAUUUAGAAAUUGUUUAUAAAGUUAUUUUUAGUGGGAAGUCAUGCAAUGAGCUCCAGUUGUCACCUUUCCAAAAUUCCAGGAGACUAGAAGGGCAGUCUGCUAAAAUUCUACGGACCAAAGCCAGGGUAACUCUUUUCUGGGGUGCUAGCACUACUCUUGGCACUGCCAUUGAGCCUGCUGUCCACCAUGAGACCACUGAGUAAGGCUCCUCCUCAUUGAUGAAAAUUCCUAUUGGUUAAUGAACUGAAUCAAAGAAUAAAUGUAUGAGGAGGGAAACUUGUCUGAUCAAUGUUGAAUACCCAGAACUUAGCACAGUGGUUGCCUUAUAUAGCAAGUACUCAAUAAAUAUUGAGUGAAUGAGUAGCUCUAUAUAUGGACUGUGUAUUUUUUAUUACUGAUGGAUUUGAAAUCAUCAGUAGCUGUUGCUCUUGCCAUAUGUGUAUAUUUGGUUCUUUUAGUUACAAGGAUGUGAUCUUCUAAUGCUGUCUUCAGGGAUAAACUACAUAGUGGUUAAAGUACAAGCUCUGCUAGUCUGUGGUGUGAGAAAUCAGUUGAGGUAGAGUGAGCAGUGACUGAAUAGAGACAUAAUAAUGGUAAUUUUCUGGAAAUGAUCUGGGUGUGUUCACUUUGUGAAAAUUUAUCAAGCAUACACUUUCAAUUUGAGCACUGAUAUGUAUAUGUGUUGUUCUUCAUUAAGAAGUUUGUUUUUUGUUUUACAAAUAGAGACUUUGGAGCUAAUUGUCUAAGUUCGUAUCCUGUCUUAUCCAUUCAUUCUGUAGCUGGAGAGCCUGGGACAAGUUACUUAACAUUUCUGUGUAUUACUUUCUUCAUCUGUAAAUUAGGAAUAAUAAUAUGUCUCUAUCACAGGGUUGUUGUGAAUUAAACUCAAUAAAUGUCAAUUGGCUGUUGUUUUUCAGAAGGUGA
This is a long non-coding RNA of Phacochoerus africanus (Common warthog), 6714 nucleotides long. RefSeq lists it as uncharacterized. NCBI's taxonomy places the organism in Eukaryota, Metazoa, Chordata, Mammalia, Artiodactyla, Suidae. The record is from RefSeq and is a predicted model, not a curated record. The transcript is spliced from 9 exons.